GUGUUUGCUUCGGCAGCACAUAUACUAAAAUUGGAACAAUACAACGAAGAUUAGCACAGCCCCCGAGCAAGGAAGACAUGCAAAUUCGUGAAGCGUCCCAUAGUUUA
Echinops telfairi (small Madagascar hedgehog) is the source of this 107-nucleotide small nuclear RNA. NCBI's taxonomy places the organism in Eukaryota, Metazoa, Chordata, Mammalia, Afrosoricida, Tenrecidae. The record is from RefSeq and is a predicted model, not a curated record.